GACGAACGCUGGCGGCGUGCUUAACACAUGCAAGUCGAACGGAAAGGCCCCCACCUUGGUGGGGGUGCUCGAGUGGCGAACGGGUGAGUAACACGUGGGUGAUCUGCCCUGUACUUCGGGAUAAGCUUGGGAAACUGGGUCUAAUACCGGAUAGGACCAUGGUUUAGUGUCUCAUGGUGGAAAAAUUAUUGUUUUGGUGCAGGAUGAGCUCGCGGCCUAUCAGCUUGUUGGUGGGGUAAUGGCCUACCAAGGCGUCGACGGGUAGCCGGCCUGAGAGGGUGGACGGCCACAUUGGGACUGAGAUACGGCCCAGACUCCUACGGGAGGAAGCAGUGGGGAAUAGUGCACAAGGGGCGCAAGCCUGAUGCAGCGACGCCGGGUGGGGGAGGACGGCCUUCGGGUUGUAAACUCCUUUCGUUAGGGACGAAGCCACACCUUUUUUGGGUGUGGUGACGGUACCUUUGUUAAGAAGCACCGGCUAACUACGG
RNAcentral lists this ribosomal RNA (488 nucleotides) under uncultured bacterium. RNAcentral describes it as "partial 16S ribosomal RNA". It matches the Rfam family "Bacterial small subunit ribosomal RNA", at positions 28 to 506 of the family's 1533-position model. The record is from RNAcentral.